Molecule: ribosomal RNA, 642 nt
Filed under: Meyerozyma caribbica
Lineage: Eukaryota; Fungi; Ascomycota; Pichiomycetes; Serinales; Debaryomycetaceae
Description: eukaryotic LSU rRNA
Rfam family: 5.8S ribosomal RNA (bases 177-330)
Source: RNAcentral
CUAUAGCAAGGCGGGAGAACCCUUUCGUAAGUGCACCGUGCAAAACCAUUAUACACAGUGACUUUUUGAUACAGAAUUCUUGCUUUGGUUUGGCCUAGAGAUAGGUUGGGCCAGAGGUUUAACAAAACACAAUUUAAUUAUUUUUAUUGAUAGUCAAAUUUUGAAUUAAUCUUCAAAACUUUCAACAACGGAUCUCUUGGUUCUCGCAUCGAUGAAGAACGCAGCGAAAUGCGAUAAGUAAUAUGAAUUGCAGAUUUUCGUGAAUCAUCGAAUCUUUGAACGCACAUUGCGCCCUCUGGUAUUCCAGAGGGCAUGCCUGUUUGAGCGUCAUUUCUCUCUCAAACCCCCGGGUUUGGUAUUGAGUGAUACUCUUAGUUGAACUAGGCGUUUGCUUGAAAAGUAUUGGCAUGGGUAGUACUGGAUAGUGCUGUCGACCUCUCAAUGUAUUAGGUUUAUCCAACUCGUUGAAUGGUGUGGCGGGAUAUUUCUGGUAUUGUUGGCCCGGCCUUACAACAACCAAACAAGUUUGACCUCAAAUCAGGUAGGAAUACCCGCUGAACUUAAGCAUAUCAAUAGGCGGAAGGAACGCAUUCGUAGAUUGAACAUGCCGGAGGAUUAAAUAACUAAAGAAAAGCAAUCCCU